RNAcentral lists this ribosomal RNA (396 nucleotides) under uncultured bacterium. RNAcentral describes it as "partial 16S ribosomal RNA". It matches the Rfam family "Bacterial small subunit ribosomal RNA", at positions 523 to 918 of the family's 1533-position model. The record is from RNAcentral.
AUACGUAGGUGGCGAGCGUUAUCCGGAUUUACUGGGUGUAAAGGGCGCGUAGGCGGGGAAGCAAGUCAGGUGUGAAAUCUAUGGGCUUAACCCAUAAACUGCACUUGAAACUGUUUUUCUUGAGUGCUGGAGAGGUAGACGGAAUUCCUUGUGUAGCGGUGAAAUGCGUAGAUAUAAGGAAGAACACCAGUGGCGAAGGCGGUCUACUGGACAGUAACUGACGCUGAGGCGCGAAAGCGUGGGGAGCAAACAGGAUUAGAUACCCCGGUAGUCCACGCUGUAAACGAUGAAUACUAGGUGUGGGGGGACUGACCCCCUCCGUGCCGCAGUUAACACAAUAAGUAUUCCACCUGGGGAGUACGGCCGCAAGGUUGAAACUCAAAUGAAUUGACGGGG